RNAcentral lists this long non-coding RNA (8319 nucleotides) under Ananas comosus (pineapple). RNAcentral's name for it is "long non-coding RNA (ACOM_LNC012096)". The record is from RNAcentral. Lineage: Eukaryota; Viridiplantae; Streptophyta; Magnoliopsida; Poales; Bromeliaceae.
GUUGUUGUACUUUUGAGAUAGAUAUUGUACUACUUAUGGCUUCUUUUAUUGUCUAGCUUUAUUUCUUUACUUGGUGUAGACGAUAGAUCUGUACUUGCUCUGAUAUCAUUAGUUGCUAGUUAUUUCAUUUCCUAUAUUUGUUCUAUCUCUUGCUUUUACUUCCGCUUUUGUUGUUUACGCCUUAUAUGUGCAGACAUAUGGCGGGUCUGGACACGCUACCGGGAGGGCCUCCGCCGGUCCCGGGGCGUGACAGGUGUCACCGGUUACACGAUCGCGCUACAACCAAACCCGAGAGUUGCUAUUUCGGGUUUUACACUGUGUACCGGUACACUUUUAGUCUGUCACCAGUACACAGCCUUUUUAGGACUUAGCCAAUUUUUUUCAACUUUUCUCCGUUUUCGCUCGUUAGGCCUCUGAUUCAUCUUAAAUCGCACCGAAACCCCCAAAACAUAUUUUCGAGCGUGUCUCAACCAUCUUUUCAUCCCCGCUUAUGCCGGAUUUAACCCAUGGUCCAACAUGGCCUUUCGGGUUCCGUUUUCGCGCCAAACACGCACCGAAACACCCGAAUUCUCCCGAGCCUCAAUCUCGCAUUGUUUCGACUCCAAUUCACGCCGAGCAAUGCUAAAACCUUUCCAACUCCCUUGAACUCAACUUUAACCCUUCCAACAUUGUUGGAAUGUUAAAUAGGCUUUGUCCAACUAUUCCUUUCGCACACUUUAGUCAAUUUGACUAAAGUUCGAUAUUCUCUACCGAGUUUCUGUAUGUUACAUUCUCCACCCCUUAACAAGAGUUUCGUCCUCGAAACUCAACUCACACCUCAAUUCAGCUCCUCAAGCAAUUGAGGGCACUAAUGCACUUUCCCACUCCGGAAUGGUCUCACGUUCAUAGGAACAAUUCAAAGGUUCACAAUGGAGGAUACGAAACCAAAAGCAUACACUUUGCAAGGUGCAUCUCACAAAGUGCAUUAUGGUCUCCGUCCUUCUUGGUGGCAGCGCAAGUCGAAACUCGAUGACUCUACGUGCUCCAACAGCACUCGCCAAUCGGCACACAAAGAUUUUAUCCUUGCAUUUGCUUUCCCUUUGGCGAAUACAUUCCAAUUCCAAUCCUCGAACUCCAAGUGGCUUGUUACUAGCUCAAGGCCUCACCAAGAGCACUUUAUCUUCUAAUGCCAUAUGCCACGGUCAAUCUCAUAUCACUCUCGCAACGAGCACACACGAAUGCUUCGUUCGUGAAUUUGAGCGAAACCUCUCGAUAAGGCUAUCCACCAAAUCGCUUUCCUCAGUUUCCAUAGCUGGACCAAAGGUCACCAAUAGUACGUAGGCCUACCGCCUAAAUCUAUCUCAACGUACGCGCAGCGCCUCUCGCUCGCCAGCGUAGACCCAAUCAUCAUUGGGGCGAAAUUCUUACUUGGGAAUUCGCACACACUCCAACCAGGAGCAAUUCAAGACCUCAAACCAUUAUAGAUCCUCGGGUUGGGUCACAACUGAACUCUUGGUAUACAAUCGAUCGCACGACACGCUCUAUCGAGCACACGUAUCAUUACCGGCUCCUAUGCACCUAGCGCGAGUCACAAGUCCUACGAGUGAUCCAUGACACGCUUCACACCUAGUAAUGCUCAAGUGCUACUGCCAACACUCACGCGGCGGAACUAAAUCCGCACUCCACGAGUAAUUAUACUCGAGCGUCACACGCCUCUAUAGUGCUCCAAUUUCCUUUACUUGCCGCAGGCCAACUCUGCUGUCCAUAGCACUGGGUACCGAUACGCAUCAGGGGUGUCACUGGUACUCCGUUGCACAGAGACCAAACUCGAGAGCAACCUAUUCUCGAGUUGCUGCCUGGUACCGGUACAAUCCAAUGCUUAACCGGUUAACAAUGCUCCAGACUUCGAUUUCGCAUUGUUUCGCUUCGAUCAAUGCUAAAACCCUUUAAUCUCUUUUAGAACUCAACUUUAACCCUUCCAACAUCGUUGGAAUGUCAUAUGGACUUUGCCCAUAGGUCACCACUAGCAACUCACUAGUGCCAUCUAGUCUCCACCUGCUCCAGCAGGUGCUCCGCUUUCACAACGCAAGCAUGCCCGGGUAUUUACACUUAUCCAUCCACUUGGUCCCUACUAUACUAAGGUGUAAGUAGUAGCAAAUGACCAUAUGCUCAAUGCAUGCAAUGCACCAACUUUACAUCAUGCAGAAACACAUGACUACAUCAAUUAAAUCAUACCUGCCAUGACGUCGUCAGUAGCAGCAGGUCCGACAUCCUGGGUCGCGUGUCCAUGGCCACUUGGCGCCCACUGCGAACCCCUUGGUUGCAUCACCACCAUCGCUCGCUCUCCCGACCGUGCCGCAGGUGGCAUACCCGCAGGCUGUCCCGAGGAGGAAAAGGCGGUCGCCAGCGUCAAAGCCUGGCUAUCACCUUGCGGACACUCAUCCCACAUAUAGCCUGGUUGCCCACAACGAACACACUUUCCAUCAUGCAGCGCACAUCGCCGCGCCCUGUGGGAACCACCACAAAUCACGCAGCUUGGAGAGGAUCGAGUAGAUGACGACUUCGGGUGUCGCCUGGAACUUGAUUGUCCACCUGGAUUGCUCGAUAAUGGCCUCACUCCACCCCGCUCGUGUUCAUAAGACUCGUGCUCCUCACGCACGAAAGCCUCACCGUGCUCUGCCCAUAACGCUCGGUCCAACAUCUCCGCGUAGGUCGUGAGUUUGAAGAUUUGCACCUUCUCGUAAAUAUCCGGUUGAAGUCCACGCAGAAACCAAUCGGCCAUUGUCAUCCCGUACCACAUCAGGGACACAAUUCACGAUACGGGAGAAUUCCCGUUCGUACUCCCUCACAGAGCGGUCUCAUUGCCACAGCUUCCUGAACCUGUUCUGAAGCUUUCUCUUUUCACUGUCGGAAAAGUAAGUAGAAAAUACCAAUCCCUGAAACUCAUCCCAUGCCAUAGGAGGGAGACUAGGCGAUCGAUCCCGUCGAAUGCCCUUCCACCACACCCUCGCCGAUUGCUUCAAGCAAUGCACGGCUAGGGGCACCUUGUCCCGCUCCAAUGUGUACAGCUCCUCGAAGAGCGUUUUCAUGGAGUCAAUCGACAUCUCUACGAUCCACGGAUCGACAUUCUCUCCAUCGAAGAUAGGUGGAUCAAACUUCUUGAAGGUCAUGAGGGCCGCCAAAGCCCGCUCAUUCUCCGCCUCCACCAAUGCACUUUUGGGAGUCGGAUCGCCCGACCCCGACGGAAACAUCUCCGCCGCAAUUCCCUGCCGUCCUCGACGAGCCGCAACUGGUGCGGUCACCAGCUGAUCUACCAUUUCCUGGAGUCUCUUAAUUCGCUCCUCCUGGCGCAUAGCAGCCUCUUGCUGUCGCUGCACCACAUCGGCUUGUUGCCUCACCACUCCCACGAGUGUGGCCAAUUGAUUGCGAAGUUCCAAGUCUCCGCUCGCCUCAGAUUGCUCAGGGACAUCACUUAUCCCAUCCCGCGCCGAUCUAGCUGAAGAUCACCUAUGCGGUGCCAUCGUUCCCUGAAACACGACAACUCGAUUAAUCCUCAACCUUCUUAGGUCGAGCACAAAACAAUCAACUUCGACUCAAAUCGGACGAAAGUCAUACAAGAGCGUCUAUUCUCAUCACUCGGUUUCAUGUUGUACAUGCCCAACAUGAACACCCUCGGUUGAGAAUACACCACACCUUGAGUCUAACUGUAAUAUCCGUCUUAGAGGUUUACAACACAACCCAAUCCAUAACCUUUCGCCAUAAGUCUCAAGUCCUCGUCUCUCACGAGCCUUAAUCUCCUAUGGUUUACUAUCCUAGGGUCUCCUAGGUCCAACUAAACCGUUUUUUUUAUAUUCUUUUAUGUUCGUUCUAUUCUCCCUUUAUGCUCUGAUACCAUCUUAUCUGUCAUGCCCCGAGCCCGCCUCUUUGGCUGGUUCGGGCACGCCGACAGACCGCCGAACGGACAGGAUUUUUCCUGUACUGCGGACAAAGUCCCCCAUGUAUGUCCAAGGCGUCACAAUCCAAACAAUGCGCGAGGUUCCAAUCAGGAACAGCAUACAACACAGGUUGCAUAAGAAAAGUAUCGAAAACAUAAAUACUAUUAUGCUAUUACAAGCAUUCAACUCAAAUACAUUUUACAUUACACAUUACAUUUUCAACUUCUCUUAGUAACUUCCAAAUACAAUCCAAUUUAACAUAAUUAUUACAAUAAUGAUUCUUUUCUUUUCUUUGACAUCCCUAAGCAGUCGACUCAGGGUACCGCUAUCUUUGGUCUCGGUGGUAGGGCGCUAACUACGGAGCUACGCCAUUUUCUCGCGCUGCCGCGCCGCUCACGUGUGAACCUGUACCCCUAAUGUGUACCGGUACACAUCAGGGGUGUCACCGGUUACACGAUCGCGUAACAGCCAAACCCGAGAGCUGCUGUUUCGGGUUUUACACUGUGUACCGGUAUACUUUUAGUCUGUCACCGGUACACAGCCUUUUUAGGACUUAGCCAAUUUUUUCAGCUUUUCUCUGUUUUCGCUCGUUAGGCCGCCAAUUCAUCUCAAAUCUCACCGAGACCCCCAAAACAUGUUUUCGAGCGUGUCUCAACCAUCUUUUCAUCCCCGCUUAUGCCGGAUUUAACCCAUGGUCCAACAUGGCCUUUCGGGUUAUGUUUUCGUGCCCAACGCGCACCGAAACACCCGAAUGCUCCCGAACCUCAAUCUCGCAUUGUUUCAACUCCAAUUCGCGCCGAGCAAUGCUAAAAUCUUUCCAACUACCUUGGAACUCAACUUUUGUCCUUCCAACAUUGUUGGAAUGUUAAAUAGGCUUUGUCCAACUAUUCCUUUCGCACACUUUAGUCAAUUUGACUAAAGUUCGAUAUUUUCUACCGAGUUUUGGUAUGUUACAAGCCCGCCCGUUCCACCCGCGCCGUCGCCGGCGCCCGCCCUCCCCCUCGGCUCACACCCUCGCGCUCGCUUGCGCUCGCGCCCUUGCAGUGCCCACGCCCGCCCGCGCCUGCGCACGCUCGAUUGCCCCACUGCUCCUCCGCCCUUGGCGCGCCGUCGCAAAGCGCCGCGAGCCGUGCCUUGCCCCCUGCGCCCGCCCCGCCCAGCGCCGGCUGCCUGCGCGCCGCCCUUGAGCAAGCCCGCCCACCCCUCGGCCAGCCCGGCCCGCGCCCUGCGCCAAGCCCCGCCCUGCGCCCUCGCCCGUGCCUGCGCCUCCCGCUACCACGUGUGCAGUUAUUGAGAAAUAAUAUAUCUUUAUAGAUGGGCCAACUUUUUUGAUUUUGUAGAUUCGAGCGGAUUUUCAGCCACCUAACCAAAAUGCCCCUCGUCUACAUUCGUCGUCCGCGUAUUCCCUGAGAUUCAUAUACCCUAACGUACGGUCCUGGCGGGUAUUAAAUGCGCCCCAUGCGCUUUACGCAACCUCGCUCUCAUCGGAACCCGGACCAAAUCUGCUCCGCUAUGCGCCAGCACUAGUGUUUGCUCUUCAUCUUAAAAAAAUUAAAUUUGCUGAAGCUAAAUGACAAAAACUACGCGGCCCACAACAGAAAUAAUAGUGCAACACCAUGUAGCAACAUGACGAGAAAUAGUGCAACAACCCUUCUAAUAGUGCAUCCUUCGGCUGUCACGAGUGCAAUCUCAGUCGCUCAGAUGUGUGACGUUAGCGUUCAAUUUUCUCCCUCAAAGGGCAUCAUUCUUGUAACACACUGGACCUUUGCAAAUUGUGAGGUUCGAGUGUUUGGAUGUAUUUCGAGCUUUUCCACACUUGGUGGAGGGUUGUAGAACGUUUUCCGACCUAAAAAGUUCGAAAAUCGGAAUUCUGGAUAAGUCCUGAGAGUUUUUACUCUCGGGGACUGGUCCGUGGAAGGAGAGACCGGUCCCCCAGUGAGCAGUGUUGAGGCAGCCUGAGGCAACCGGUCCCUGGCAGGCGAGACCGGUCCCCGAGCGCGUCUUCGCAGUGAGAGACCGGUCCUGCACGGGGAGAGACCGGUUCCCGAACGUUGGUUUUUCGGGUUCGCAGCGAGAGACCGGUCCCUGCUGGGGAGAGACCGGUCCCUCUGGGCGAAAACUGCCCAGUUCGGGCUGAUGUAAUAUUGGGUUUUUGAGGGGCCUGGUUGGAUUUUGUUACUCUAGAUGGGCUUAUUAGCCAUUUCACUCCCUUCCCUCCUCAUUUCUCACCACCCUACACCUUCUAGAGAGAGAAGAAGAAGAAGGAGAAGAAGAAGAAGGAGGAGAAGAAGAAGAGGAGCUAGUUUGAGGGAGCUUGGAGCUCAACCCCUUUCUCUCUUUCCCACCUUGGCAAGGCUUGGAGCUUGCUUGUAGAGCUUAGUGGUGGACCAACUUCAACCCUAGAAGAUUUUGAGCUUGGAUUGGAGCAUCCUAGAGGUAUGUGGCAAGGUUCCUCCCUCUAGAUCUUAGUUUUGGAGCUUUUUGCUUGUUUUAACCCUAGAAUGAGAUUUAGGGUUUAAUUUUGGGCAUUUUUGAUCUAGGGCUUUUGGGGCUAAAUUGAUUGGUUUAGAACCUUCCUAGGGCUUGGAUUGGAAGGGUUCUAGCUCUCUUUUGGAGCUUUGGGAGAGAUUUCUACUCUUGAGGUAAAUUUUGGCCCUUUUUGCUCCUAGGUUAAUGUUUGAUCUUACGGUUGGUCGUGAUGCUCCCGUAUCUCUUCACUGACCACUUUUAGGGUAUCUUGAGGCUCGUGGACAACUUCGUUCGGCGAAUCGAGACCCUACGCGACGGUUCGGUGGGUUUGACCUAGCCACACAAUGAGAAAUUCUCAUGUGUGUUUAAUUAAGUGUUGUUAAAUGAAAAAGCAUGCAUAUUCUUGUUAUACGAAUUUAUUGUGAAUUUUAGAAUGCUUAAAAGGCCUACGUUAUAUAUAAUGAAAUUUUGGACCUCUAUGUAGUAGAGAGUAGCUUAUUAGGCCAUGGUUGCAUUUAGCAUUCUAUAUGAGACGCGGUAUCCUACUUCUAUAGUAUAAAUGAGUUCGGAUUCAUGCAUGUAAACCUACAAUUACUUGUGACAUGAAAAUUGACAAGAUUGUCAUUUAGAAGCUAUGUGAAUUAGAGAGCUAAUGUCAUCAAGCGGCAUUGAGCUCGGGACGCGUGUGAACCUAAUGGAUAGGGCCAUCAAGGGAUUUGAAAUACAUAUUGAACAUCAGAUUGCCUAAGUGUCAUCAAAGGGCACUAGGCGUAGCAAAGGUUGAACCUUCACAUUGUGACAUAAACUAGAUCUUUGGGAUACUAGUGACUAUACCAUGUUAGAGACAUGAGGAUUGGAUACUUUAGACUUGGACUUUGCUUGCUUGCCAUUUGUGCUCAUUCGCACAUGCUUGUGAGGGUCGCUCCCUACAAGCCGGCACUCCGGAGUUAGCCUAUGCGACCUAUGUUCGCUCGUGCGGUAUUGAGAAGCCUACGGGGUCGAGUGGGACAGACACAUUCCAAGAGUAGGAAUGUCGGGCUACCACAGGCACUUAGGCGGCACAAGCUGGACUACCUUUGGUAGGUCCUUGAUUGGAAAUGGAAAUCGAUACGGGGUCGAGAUUGGUUAAUCACUACUAGAUAGGUUUAGUAGUUGGAUUACAUUUAUAUGUUUUUUUAGCAUAGUGUUGAGACAUGUAGUAUAUUUGAUAGUCUCUUGUUGCAUUAGAGCAUACUUGGUUGCCAUGAUAGAGCUUAUGCAUCAUGCAUUGAUAAGGGUUAUUGACAUUAGACUAGUGCCAUUGGACGUAAUUGUAAGGAUAGAAUAGAUGUACAUUUUGGUUUACAUCACGCUUUCUUUCAGCAGUUUAUUUACAUGCUCCUUAUUGCUUAUUAUUAUUAUCGUUGCUUACCUUUGUUUUUGGGGCCUAGUGGAGCAGGAGCUGAGGUCAGUAAUUGCCCACUGGGAACUAUAGCUUAUAGUUCUCACGCCCUCUUUUUCUCGAUGUUUUCAGAGCCUUCCACUCAGGGCGAGGCUAGGGACCGCGGGAAGGGAGUUGCUUCGAGCUAGCUUCCUUUGAGGACGAUUCGCUAGGUGGUCUACCUCUCGUUGUGUUUUAUUUUGGAGAGGUUGAGAGUUCUACCAGUGUAUUAGAGACCACCGUUUUUGUACUUUUGAGACAGAUAUUGUACUACUUGUGAUUUCUUUAUUGUCUAGCUUUACUUGCUCUGAUAUCAUUAGUUGCUAGUUAUUUCACCUCGUCAUUUGUUCUAUUCUUGCUUUUACUUCCGCUUUUAUUGUAGACGCCUUAUAUGUGUAGACAUAUGGCGGGUCUGGGCACGCUACCGGGAGGGCCUCCGCCGGUCCCGGGGCGUGACAGAUUAAUUUGGUAUCAGAGCCUAGGGUUGAGUCUUAGUGGACCUAGCGAACCUUAGGC